This 760-nucleotide ribosomal RNA is filed under the name uncultured bacterium. RNAcentral's name for it is "bacterial SSU rRNA". It matches the Rfam family "Bacterial small subunit ribosomal RNA", at positions 8 to 796 of the family's 1533-position model. The record is from RNAcentral.
AGAGUUUGAUCAUGGCUCAGGGUAAACGCUGGCGGCGUGCCUAAAACAUGCAAGUCGAACGGGCAGUCUUCGGAUUGUCAGUGGCAGACGGCUGAGUAACGCGUGGGUGACGUACCUAUCGGUGGGGAAUAACUGCCCGAAAGGGUGGCUAAUACCGCAUACGUCCACUGCUUCGUGGCGGUGGGGAAAAUCGCAAGAUGCCGAUGGAGCGGCCCGCGUUCGAUUAGCUGGUUGGUGGGGUAACGGCCUACCAAGGCGACGAUCGAUAGCUGGUCUCAGAGGAUGAUCAGCCAGACUGGGACUGAGACACGGCCCAGACUCCUACGGGAGGCAGCAGUUAGGAAUUUUGGGCAAUGGGCGCAAGCCUGACCCAGCAACGCCGCGUGGGUGACGAAGGCCUUCGGGUUGUAAAGCCCUUUUCUGAGGGAAGAUGAUGACGGUACCUCAGGAAGAAGCACCGGCUAACUACGUGCCAGCAGCCGCGGUAAUACGUAGGGUGCGAGCGUUGCCCGGAUUUAUUGGGCGUAAAGGGCGCGUAGGCGGUCACGCACGUCCGUUGUGAAAUCGCUCGGCUCAACUGGGCGGGGUCAGCGGAUACGGCGUGGCUGGAGCAAGCUAGGGGGCAAUGGAAUUCCCGGUGUAGUGGUGGAAUGCGUAGAUAUCGGGAGGAACACCAGUGGCGAAGGCGGUUGCCUGGACUUNNCUGACGCUGAUGCGCGAAAGCGUGGGGAGCGAUCCGGAUUAGAUACCCUAGUAGUCC